Molecule: transfer RNA, 72 nt
Filed under: Marmota marmota marmota (Alpine marmot)
Lineage: Eukaryota; Metazoa; Chordata; Mammalia; Rodentia; Sciuridae
Also listed under: 1 other name
Rfam family: tRNA
About the family: Transfer RNA (tRNA) molecules are approximately 80 nucleotides in length. Their secondary structure includes four short double-helical elements and three loops (D, anti-codon, and T loops).
Source: Rfam by way of RNAcentral
GGGGUUGUAGCUCAGUGGCAGAGAGCUCAUCUGGCAUGUGUGAGGCACUGAGUUCAACCCUCAGCAUCACAU